GUGGGGAAUCUUAGACAAUGGGCGCAAGCCUGAUCUAGCCAUGCCGCGUGAGCGAUGAAGGCCUUAGGGUUGUAAAGCUCUUUCGUGGGGGAAGAUAAUGACUGUACCCCAAGAAGAAGCCCCGGCUAACUCCGUGCCAGCAGCCGCGGUAAUACGGAGGGGGCUAGCGUUGUUCGGAAUUACUGGGCGUAAAGUGCACGUAGGCGGACUGGAAAGUCAGGGGUGAAAUCCCGGGGCUCAACCCCGGAACUGCCUUUGAAACUCCCAGUCUUGAGUUCGAGAGAGGUGAGUGGAAUUCCGAGUGUAGAGGUGAAAUUCGUAGAUAUUCGGAGGAACACCAGUGGCGAAGGCGGCUCACUGGCUCGAUACUGACGCUGAGGUGCGAAAGCGUGGGGAGCAAACAGGAUUAGAUACCCCAGUAGUCC
RNAcentral lists this ribosomal RNA (425 nucleotides) under uncultured bacterium. RNAcentral describes it as "partial 16S ribosomal RNA". It matches the Rfam family "Bacterial small subunit ribosomal RNA", at positions 354 to 796 of the family's 1533-position model. The record is from RNAcentral.